UGCCCGCUAUUAACUGAUAAUUAGCGGAUUUAAUUAGCGCUCUGCACGCUUGGCAGGCUCGGGUCCGUCCUGGCUGGAAGAUUCUGCACCAGAUGUUCAUAGUUCAAGUGGGGAGCAGGGGAAGUUAAUUGAACAAUACAUUAAAAACACGCUAGAUGGGAUGCCAGGUUAGCCAGCAGCGCGCUCUCCCUGCUGACAAACUGCCGCAGCGGGAUCGGUGUGUCUGACCCUAAAUGAGUCCCCGCAGCUUUUCUUGCUUAGUCUGGACUGGAGCUUUGUCUGGGUUUGGAGCUUUGCCUUUUGGAGCAGGAGGAAUUCUCUGUCCUCCUAGCCUAAGCCACUGCUGGAAGGACUCCCUGUGUAAUUCUCUGCUAACUGCAAAUGGGAAAAGGAAAUGUUCCCCUCAGUUCUUUAAACCAAGAGCUGGUAAUUUCAUUCUCUCCUGGAGUGUUACUCCAGUGGUGAUGAGAUUUAGCCUAAUCUGCAUUAAUGCUGCCUUUUAGCACUGGUUGAGGAAGGAGCCCAAAACCCCACCUGGAGCUCCACUGGGCUGUUCUGGAACAGGCACAGAGCUGGAGAUCCAUCCUUUAUAGGGAAUAAUAAAUGU
Molecule: long non-coding RNA, 607 nt
Organism: Oenanthe melanoleuca
Lineage: Eukaryota; Metazoa; Chordata; Aves; Passeriformes; Muscicapidae
Exons: 3
Source: RefSeq, a predicted model, not a curated record